Non-coding RNA from Stegodyphus mimosarum, 73 nucleotides. NCBI's taxonomy places the organism in Eukaryota, Metazoa, Arthropoda, Arachnida, Araneae, Eresidae. The record is from Rfam.
GCCUUCGUGGUGUAAUGGUCAGCAUAUUCGGUGCGUAUUCGAGAGGUCUGAGGUUCGAAUCCCGGCGAAGGCA